UUCUAUGGAUGUGCCACUCUAAACAUGCCCGAUGUUGGAUCUUGGAAGCUAAGCAGAGUCGAGCCUGGUUACUACUUGGAUGGGAGAACACUUAGGAAGACCAGGUGCUGUAGGCA
RNAcentral lists this ribosomal RNA (116 nucleotides) under Pteropus alecto (black flying fox). The record is from RNAcentral. Lineage: Eukaryota; Metazoa; Chordata; Mammalia; Chiroptera; Pteropodidae.